GUCUGGAUGGUGUAGUUGGUUAUCACGUCGGUCUCAUAUACUACACGUAUAUAUGAAUUCAAGUUCUAACUUGAAGUUAUCCGAAGGCCGCGAGUUCGAGUCUCGCUCUGGAGU
Non-coding RNA from Lithohypha guttulata, 114 nucleotides. The record is from the annotation of a RefSeq genome assembly. Lineage: Eukaryota; Fungi; Ascomycota; Eurotiomycetes; Chaetothyriales; Trichomeriaceae.